GGUAAGAUGGCUGAGCUAUAGGCGAUAGAUUGUAAAUCUACAGACGGGGGGUUACCUCCUCAUACCA
Molecule: transfer RNA, 67 nt
Filed under: Agnetina aequalis
Lineage: Eukaryota; Metazoa; Arthropoda; Insecta; Plecoptera; Perlidae
Description: tRNA-Tyr
Rfam family: tRNA
About the family: Transfer RNA (tRNA) molecules are approximately 80 nucleotides in length. Their secondary structure includes four short double-helical elements and three loops (D, anti-codon, and T loops).
Source: RNAcentral